RNAcentral lists this long non-coding RNA (1055 nucleotides) under Olea europaea (common olive). RNAcentral's name for it is "long non-coding RNA (OEUR_LNC008413)". The record is from RNAcentral. Lineage: Eukaryota; Viridiplantae; Streptophyta; Magnoliopsida; Lamiales; Oleaceae.
CCUGUGUAUGGCCGACUUACUGUUUCAAUGGGCAAAAAUUUACAGAAUAUGUGUUGAAAAUGGGAAACAAACGGGGGCUAAAAUCUCCGAACCUCAACCCUUUCUCACAUUAUUCCUUACAAAACCACAACUCUCUCUCUCUCUCUCUCUCAUUUCAGAACCCUCAUCUCUGUCAUCCUCGAAGCUCUGCUGUCUUCCUCCGUCUCCUCUCCGAGGACCUCUUAAACAUCAAGCCUUAAAAGCCCCAAAUCACUAAUAGCAAAAACCCUCACCUGAUUCUUACUUUGAAAUAAAAAAACUAACCUGACUUUGAAGUCUGCAAUGGCUGGAAAAAGUGGGUCGAAGAUAAAAAUAAUUGUUGAUGAAGAAGCAUCUUCAAAGAAGAAAAGAAUUUUUUUCAAAACGUUUUAAGGAUUUUGACUAUUUAUUCCAUUUUCAGUCAUUAGAGAUCACGAUUUUUAUUUUCAGCACAAAUGAGACUAGUAUUUCUACUCUUAUUAAAGAUGGAGAGGCAAGUAUCUAGAGUGUUUAAUAUCCUUAGUGACAUUGGAGAGGCAAGACUAGGAUUUGAUUGCUAUUUCCACCUGUAGGGUCGAUAUCUAGCCAUUAUAUCUAUCCCAAUUGGAUGGAAUUUAUGUAAGGUAUCCAAUGGAUAUUAUAAACCCUUUUGAACCAUACUAGUCACUGGUCAGCAUAGUGUGGCAGGUACUUGAAUUUUCAAAUUGCAUUGCCUUUCGAUUUCGUUGUCACUUUUAUUUAUUUAUUUUUUUUUUUACAAGGUGUCCUAUUCUAGACUAAUCCUUGGGUCUGUGAUCCGGCCCCUCUUCACACAGUCCGGUUAAUCGCAGGAUGUGCCUCCAACUGGCCAGGGUCCGAGCGCUCCCCACCUGGUCUGACAAAGUGCCAAGCAAGUCAAUCCAAGUUGCACCUUGCCUUCCAAGAAUAAUCCUUGCCUUCCAAGUUCCCACUUGCCUUCCAAGAAUAAAUCCUUGCCUUCCAAGAAUAAAUCGUUGUCACUUUUAUUGUUAGACCACAAGACUGUAAUUUCAUGUACA